Long non-coding RNA from Spinacia oleracea (spinach), 1013 nucleotides. RefSeq lists it as uncharacterized. The record is from RefSeq and is a predicted model, not a curated record. NCBI's taxonomy places the organism in Eukaryota, Viridiplantae, Streptophyta, Magnoliopsida, Caryophyllales, Amaranthaceae. The transcript is spliced from 3 exons.
UUUCUCUCUCAUCAAAUGCAGAAGCGCUUUCUCUCCCUUCCCCUCAAACUCUCCGCCUCUCCUCAAACACGCCGCCCUCCUCGGCGUCCUUCGAGUUCUCAUCCAUGGCGACGACGCCGUUGGAGAGGCCCCUCCUUUACCCCUCUCUCUCUCUUCUCCAACACUAUGCUUUUGAAACCCUAAGAUUUCUAACAUGGCGUCGAAGAAGAAAAUUCUCAGAGGUUUUCGAUUUUGUACGGGUUUAGACGCGGCGGUGGUGUGGUUGUUGGUGGCGUUGUGCGGGUCGAGACGGAGGGAUGAGAGACAUAGAUCCAGAGACGAAGGAAUGUAGGUGGCGGUUCUCCUUGAGGUGGCACGACGGGACAUCGGCGGUGAUCGUUGAGGAGACGCGAGAAGAAGAUCCUCUUUUGUAGAUCGAGAUCGAACAGAUGGUUGGCUAUGGAAGAACAGCUGCAGAAGCCAUAUCUAGGUUGCAAACACCGACCGGAAGCUGCAAGCGUAGGAAGAACAGUUGCCUCUGUAUAGUUAAUUGUUGGUCUGCUAGAUCUGAUGUACCAUGGAUCAGUUGAAAGAAAUGGAAAUGCAGGGGGUAGAACUGUUGUGUUUGAUCGCUGAUUUCUGCUGCCUAAUGAAGCGUGGAACAUGGGCAGAAAGUGUGGCAGUCGAGAUGUAUCAUGGGCAGAAAUGCGAGAGAAUCAGUUGGGACACUUGCGAGAGAAUCUUGGAAGCGCGGCAGUCAAGAUGUAUCAUGGGCAGAAAUGCUAUGAUCAGUUGGUGUUUAUGUCUUGUAGAACUUGUGUAAUUCCAAUCAAAAUUCAUAAGUUGGUGGUGUUUAUUUUAUAUCAAAGUUGACUAGGUUUGACUUUGGUAUAUUCUGUGUAAUUACAAUCAAAAUUCAUCAUGUCGGUAUAUUCUGUGUAAUAAUUAAAUAGGUUUUGGUUCAUGGUUAAGAUGAUUUAGUUUUAGUUAUACUUUUGUUAUAUUUAGUGAUGAAAUGAAGCAGUUUAGUUACA